AUCAGUGAUGACUAAGGCCUUCCCUAGAACAUGGGGUAUAUUACCCGCUGCCCACAGUGUGAUUCGCAAUAAAGCCAGCCCAGGCCAGGGAGCAGUCUUGACAAUUCAGGAACAGCCCCCCUCCGCCCGCAUCCAUCCCAGCCAAGGUUUUCACCUACAGUCAUUACUUGAAUGUGUUUUAUUGUUUUGUUUUUAGUACUGAGUUUAAGGGAAAUGUCAUCUCUUGGUGCACCUGCCCUGCUUGGGGGGUGCCCAGGUCCCCGGGUGCUGGGCUCCUGGGGAAGUCCGCUCCCAACGGGCUGUCAUUCAUGACUGCGGGGACCCUGACCGGCAUCACUUUGCCCCCUCACCCGCCCCACUCCGUGCUCCCUGUCCAGCUGAGGGAGUCGGGAGUCCUCCCAGGCUGGGAGAGGGUGGGGCGGCGCCAGAGCCGGGAUUUCCCUCCACCCGCACAUCCGGGGUUGAGAUCCCUGGCCUGGUGCCCAUCACAGCCCCUGGACCUCUGGGCCAGCAGAGGCCUCCAGGGACCCCCCGCCCAUAACGCCUGGGGCUCUCCAGCCAGGCUGCCCUUGCUCUCCACCCCCAACUGGCAGCUCCUGCUGGGAAGUUGCUCCCGGAAACUCCCUUCUGGCUGGAACCACCCAAGGAGCCCCAGUCCCGGCCCCCCUCCCACAGGGCAGGCCCGAGGGGGCGCCGCUUCCGGCCGCUGCUGCAGGGCAGGGGGCAGCAGCAUCCACGGCCAGAACACUGCCCACGUUUACUGAGUGCUUAGCACGCACGAGCCAGCAUACACACCAUCUAAUCCAACGGUCACAUGAGCACUGCAAGGGAGCUACCACGACCCUGGGCAUUUUACAGACGAGGAAAGUGACGUCCAGAGACGUUAGUGCGUGACUAAGGCCCCACAGCCGGGAAGUGACGGAGUCAGCGCUUGGAACCAGUUUGCUGGGCACCAGGUCCACACUCUGGAUGACUUGCUGUUCACAGGCAUUGAUGCUGAUUCAUUUCCUGCUCUUUUGGUGAGUUAAUCCCAGUCCCUUCCACCUUCACUUUAUAGGUCAAGUGGUUUUGUUGCUCUUGGCCCCCUCUCCGGCUUCUCCACCUUUGUGCUCACAUGGCACCCUGAAUUGGGCACAGUGUUGUGAAAAGGCUACACAGAUCAACUUACCCCACGUGGCCAAUUUUCCUGCCACAGUGACACUGUGUGUUCUCCUCCUGAACUAGGUGGGAACCAGCUGGGUCAUCCAGGCAGCCUCCACCCUUGAGAGGAAUGAAUUCCUCUCCAUCCCAGCCAGCAACACAGAAAGCUCUGGAAAGAAGACUGGAGGUUGGUGUCCUGACAUUACUCAGCCCUUGUCAUCUGUGGCUGAGUAAGGCCCACUGAGCCUCCGAGCUGGGGAUUCUGUGCAUGGUGUGGUCUCCACACCCAGCCAGGAG
RNAcentral lists this long non-coding RNA (1437 nucleotides) under Capra hircus (goat). RNAcentral describes it as "lncRNA (ENSCHIG00000008197.1)". Lineage: Eukaryota; Metazoa; Chordata; Mammalia; Artiodactyla; Bovidae. The record is from RNAcentral.